AGUCAAACGCCGGUUCGCACAGUCUUAACGUUCGGGAGAUCACAAUGUCGUAUUUAAAAAAGCUUUGCACAAUAUUCAUUUUUCAUGUAUUCUUUUCACAUUCUGAUUGCAAUCAAAUUGCAGAGUUUAGUGAGGCUAAAGCACUAGUAGCCGAGUUGAGAGCGGAGGUGGAACGUCAGGGAAAGUUGCUUCAAGAACUAAUCGGGAACCGCAAUCUAAAUUCCUUAGAGCCUCACGCACACAGCUGCUAUGAAGCAGCAGGUCGAGCUAGCGGUAUUUUUAAAAUACAAGUUCCCGGUUUUAGCCUCAAGCCGUUCAAGGUUGCAUGCGAAACAAACGAUCACGGUGACGGCUGGACGAUAAUAUUGCGACGCCAGGACGGAAGUGAGGACUUUUAUCGUAAUUGGAAUGACUACAAAAAUGGCUUUGGCGACCUGGAAGGUGAGUUCUUUAUGGGCUUGGGAAAACUCCAUGCAAUAACUGCCGCUCAAAGACAAGCUGGUUCUACUAGAGAACGAGGACGGGGAAACAUCAUACGAGAAGUAUAAUAGGUUUGCGAUUGGAGAUGAAUUGGAAUCAUUCGCGUUACACACGCUUGGGAAUGCGAAUGGAACUGCUGGGGAUUCACUCAAAUAUCAUCAUGGUCAAAAAUUUACGACUUUUGAUCGGGAUAAUGAUUCUGAUCAGCUGAAAAACUGUGCGAAGACUUACAGUGCUGCCUGGUGGUACAAUUCCUGUUAUAUGAGCAACUUAAAUGGAAAAUAUAAUGAUAACGACAAGGGCGUACAUUGGGCAACCUUUAAAGAUGUGGAACACUCAUUAAAACGAGCAGUCAUGAUGAUGCGGCCGAUAAUUGAAUCUCAAAUUGCAUAUUGAUGUUCUGAAUUCUUAUGUAGACAUAAUAAAUAAAAUGAAAAUUUCUUAAGCAGAUCAGUUCUGGAUUCCGAUAACGGUUAAA
Molecule: long non-coding RNA, 958 nt
Organism: Drosophila montana
Lineage: Eukaryota; Metazoa; Arthropoda; Insecta; Diptera; Drosophilidae
Exons: 3
Source: RefSeq, a predicted model, not a curated record